CAGCCGCCGCGGUAAUACAGAGGAUGCAAGCGUUAUCCGGAAUGAUUGGGCGUAAAGCGCGCGCAGGCGGAUAGGUCAGUCUGUCUUAAAAGUUCGGGGCUUAACCCCGCGAUGGGAUGGAAACUGCCAAUCUAGAGUAUCGGAGAGGAAAGUGGAAUUCCUAGUGUAGCGGUGAAAUGCGUAGAUAUUAAGAAGAACACCAGUGGCGAAGGCGACUUUCUGGACGAAAACUGACGCUGAGGCGCGAAAGCCAGGGGAGCGAACGGGAUUAGAGACCCCAGUAGUCCCUGUCUCUUAUACA
RNAcentral lists this ribosomal RNA (301 nucleotides) under uncultured bacterium. RNAcentral describes it as "partial 16S ribosomal RNA". It matches the Rfam family "Bacterial small subunit ribosomal RNA", at positions 509 to 809 of the family's 1533-position model. The record is from RNAcentral.